This 464-nucleotide ribosomal RNA is filed under the name uncultured bacterium. RNAcentral describes it as "bacterial SSU rRNA". It matches the Rfam family "Bacterial small subunit ribosomal RNA", at positions 28 to 507 of the family's 1533-position model. The record is from RNAcentral.
GACGAACGCUGGCGGCGUGCUUAAAACAUGCAAGUCGAACGGACUUCUCAUGAAGCUUGCGAUUGAGAAGUUAGUGGCGGACGGGUGAGUAACGCGUGGGCAACCUGCCCCUGAGCCCGGGAUAACAGUUCGAAAGGACUGCUAAGACCGGAUAUACUUGCGGGGAAGCAUUUCACUGCAAGGAAAGGGAACGCUCAGGGAUGGGCCCGCGUCCCAUUAGCUAGUUGGUGAGGUAACGGCCCACCAAGGCGACGAUGGGUAGCCGGCCUGAGAGGGUGAACGGCCACACUGGGACUGAGACACGGCCCAGACUCCUACGGGAGGCAGCAGUUGGGAAUCUUCGGCAAUGGGCGCAAGCCUGACCGAGCAACGCCGCGUGAGUGAUGAAGGUUUCGGAUUGUAAAGCUCUGUCUUCCGGGACGAUAAUGACGGUACCGGAGGAGGAAGCCACGGCUAACUACGUG